RNAcentral lists this non-coding RNA (30 nucleotides) under Mus musculus (house mouse). Lineage: Eukaryota; Metazoa; Chordata; Mammalia; Rodentia; Muridae. The record is from RNAcentral.
UGCAUUUUGACCAGUUGCGGCUUUCCGAAA